Oryctolagus cuniculus (rabbit) is the source of this 3868-nucleotide non-coding RNA. NCBI's taxonomy places the organism in Eukaryota, Metazoa, Chordata, Mammalia, Lagomorpha, Leporidae. The record is from RefSeq and is a predicted model, not a curated record.
AAAGUUUGAAAGAGUCAGGAAUGGGGCAGAGGGUCUGUGUCCCAGCUUGGCCCCGCUGUGCCCCUUGCUACCCUGCACAUCCCUAUGCUCCCAUGGUAGCACGCCUCUCCACCAGCCAAGCUGCAGACCCUCUGGCAGACACGCUCCUGUGUGGGUUUGUCUUCAAGACACUGGCUGACCAAGGAAGGCCAGGUGCCCACAGAAGGCUCACAGAUACUCACAUGCCUGACAGCCAAGAGCCGCAGUCCCUUGGCCCCUCCCUCCUCACCUGGGGGCCACUGGGACUUGCAGCCCUGGCUCACCAGCUGUGGGAGGCCAGCCCCUUGAUCAAGCUUAGCGCACAUGCUCAAAGACUGGAACCCCAGAGCUUCUGCAGGAUGUCUGCAUAGAUCGUGCCUGGGGCCCUAUCCUUUCCAGAGCAAUAGUAGACAAAACAUCUCAGUUUCUUGAAAGAGGCUGCUUGGCCUCCCCUGGUGAACAGUCCUGGAUACAUUGUUUUGCAAAGCUGAAAUGUAAGUUUUCCAAGAUCCACCUUUGGUAAAGAAAAAAAUAAGUACAACAAGUGUCAUGAGGGCUUUGUUCUAUCUGGAGCAAGACAAUGUAACAAAAUACAUUCCUCAGGAACUUUCUCCCACAAUUAGGGAAACACUGUGUAUCACGGAGGCAGAAUCAGAAUUCAGUGGGGCAAUAGCACACACCCAACCAUCUAUUUGGUUUCCCAGUCGAUGCUAUCACUGCUGUGCUGGAGAACCUCCAAGACAAGCUGAGAUAAACUAGAAAAUCAGGUAAAACAGGAGUCAAAGAACUGCGAGCAGAAACAUCCUUUCUGGAUGACUUGAUCCAUUUCCCAUCUCCUAGCCACAAAAUCCAGAAAAUAAUAAGAAACCUGAAAAUUAACACAUUGGCUAGGCAUCUUAAUCGCUCACCUAACGGGAGAUACCCACCUGGUGGUUCACCCAUCCUAGAAUCAGAAUUCAGCCAGCUACGCUCGUGACUCCUGGGACUGUACGUGAUACCUCCGAGCACAUAUACUUCUUUUUGUCAAGAUUUAUUUAUUUGUAAGUCAGAGUGACACAGAGAGAGGAGAAGCACAGAGAGGUCUUCCAUCCUCUGGUUCACUCCUGAAUUGGCCGCAACGGCUGGAACUUCACCAAUCCGAAGCCGGUAGCUUCUUCCAGGUCUCCCACACAGGUGCAGGGGCCCAAGGACUUGGGCUAUCUUCUUACUGCUUUCCUAGGCCACAGCAGUGAGCUGGAUCAGAAUGGAGCAGCCAGGUAUCAAACCAGCGCCCAUAUGGGUUGCCGGCACUUUAGACCAGGGCAGUAACCCACUAUGCCACAGUGCCAGCCCCUAUACCUUUUACAAUAUACAAUUUGAAGUACACUUAUAACAUACAAAAUACAAUGUAUAAUACUUACAAAAACAAUUUAUAACAAAAUAUAGCAUUUCAUUGGUAAGAUACAAUAUAAUAUACGAUUUGUACUUCCUUCCAUCUAGGUCCUAAAGGCCCGAGUGUCCCUGACAUGUGGCCGGGACCUGUGGCCAACAGAAGAUCAGGGAGACUAAAAUACAACUCUUGAAAACUCAGUGGACCUGACAAAACAUGUAUCCCCAGGAAACAAGGAAAAAAAAAAAGAAAAGACUCAAGGGACUUAACCACAGAAAUGACAGAGAGUACACUACUACCAACCUUACCAAAAACAUAAUAUAUAUAUAUAUAUAUGUGUGUGUGUGUGUGUAUAUAUAUAUAUAUAUAUAUAUAAAAGAACACUAUGGAAACACUAAGGCACAAGAAUUUGGUGACCCUAGGUACUCUUAACACUUUAUAAGCAUUCAACCACCUACCUAAAAACUUUUCAUAACAAAAUAAAUAGCUUUCGGGGCCACCGUUGUGGGUCAGUAGGUUAAUCCUCUGCCUGCAGCACCUGUAUCCCAUAUGGGUGCCGGUUCUAGUCCCAGCUGCUCCUCUUCUGAUCCAGCUCUCUGCUAUGGCCUGGGAAAGCAGGGGAAGAUGGCUCAAGUCCUUGGGCCCCUGCAGUCAUGCGGGAGCCAGGAAGAAGCUCCUGGCUCCUGGCUUCAGAUCAGCACAGCUCCAGCCAUUGCGGCCAUCUGGGGAGUGAACCAGUGGAUGGAAGGCCUUUCUCUCUGUCUCUCUCUCUCUCGCUGUCUGUAACUCUGUCUCUCAAGUAAAUACAUACAUACAUACAAUCUAAAAAAUAAAUAGCUUUCUACCAUUUUACUCUGUGGAUGCAGCAGAAUUUGCUACUUACUUAUAUAUUAUUCUUUUCCAUGUAUAUAUUAUUCCUAACUUCAUUUUUCCUCCCUCAUCAGAAAGGAAGACAUGCUCAGUUUUGGAAAAACUGUAAAUCACAAUCAUUCAAAAAGGAGAGGAUAAAAGCCACCAUAACCCCUUCACUAGAAUGAGCAUGCUAACAUGGAGGAUUACCUUCUGUGCAUUUAUCCCAUUCUUCAUUACAACUAAGGAAUUAUUGGCUGACAUUGACCACCCAAUCCAGGACCCCCCAGGGAAGAAGAAAUGGGAUCCAGGAAGGAAAGAGAGGAAGCAGAAGGAAUCCCAGGAUGAAGCUGAAGAAAGAGGUGGUGGAGUGAGUGGCUGGUGGGCUGUGAAACUCGGGAAAACAGUCUCUCAGGCCAGAGAAUAUUAAUGCAGAAGGGAGGAAGAUUCUGAGUGCCAGCAGGGAUGUCACAAAGAAAACAAACAAAAGUAUCCUACAGCUUCCUGAGAAGGCACCUGAGAAGAGAUGAGAAGAUGGCCCAAGUGCUUUGGCUGCGGCCACCCACACAGAAGACCAGGAGGGAGUACCUGGCUCUGGCCUGGCACAGAACUGGCUCCUGUGGCCAUUCAGAUAGUGAACCAGCACAGACAAGAUCUCUCUUUGCGUCACUUCAAGCAGGAAGAAGCUUGAUACUUUGGCUUUCUGAACGACUCCACAGAGGUCAUUACCCACAGCAAACUUUGGCACUGCAGGACCACCUUUCUCACAAGAUUUCAUCUCUUGCACCUGACAACACUUUUCCAUUAAUUGGAGGGUGAAGUGCCAAGUGUUUCUGCACACCCCAUGCUCCUUUAGAAUACUGCCAAGCAAAGAAAUUAACAGGGAGCAUGCCAGCUGCCCCUGGAUCUCACUGCGUAUAUAUGUGACAGGACCGAGUCAAGGCAUCCCAUAUCAGAUCAUCAAUUAGCUGUAGAGGUUGGGCGAGGGGCGGCUUUAACAACUUGGCAAUCUUCCUGAAGCACAGUUACAGUGAUGUAAAGAAAUAUCAGAGCCUGGGUGAAUUGUAAGAUCAUUCCAGAUCCUCUCCUGAUGGCUCAUCCCUGAGGCUUCAUCCACUGACAAAACUUCGUAUAGAGCUCAGGUGUUGAUAUCAGUUUUCAUUGAGAUUUCUCAAAAUGCUAAUUUUCUAUUGCAUAGUUUUCUCUUAAACAGAUGUUAGAAGACAGUUGCUGAUCUGUUCAGAUGAUGUGGAAGAAAAGAGAAAUUAUGUGUUAACCAUUGUUUGAAAUAAACACUAGACAUGACUCUGUAACUUCUAAUGUCUGCUAAUUCUAUUUACAAGCUAAUGACUACUAAUUGCAUUUGUUAUUGCUCAAAGACGAUCAAUACUGAAGAUGUUAGACAAAGUUAGAAACAAAAGAAAGUGAAUAUUUCAUUCAGAAUUCAUUCAUCCAAACAUAUACUUGAAGUUAUGCUUUGCAGGUCAGUCCUAGUUACCUAUCAAUAACCAGAUAUGUGCAUGCUCUAUUAAAAAACUGCUUUUCCUUGUGAUACUAUGACAAUGGUUGCUAAGACACUCCGAAACUCCUUCCAAAAUUAUUAAAAGAUUGUGUGUGUGUGUGUGUGUUUUA